ACAGACUUGUUUCAGAGGAUCAAAGAACUCCAUGAAAUUAUCUACAAAAUGUUUUGUGUAUGAGUAUCACCAUAAGAAGAUGUUCCAUUGCUUUUGUUAGAUUGUCAGAGUGAACCAUGACCCUUCUUUCAAAUGGUGAUAAAAACUUCUGCUGAGCUCCUCUAUAGAGCACCCCUCCCCCUAGGCUGGUUGGCUGGAUACAGAGUGCCCAGUGGAGGACUCCGAGCCUAAGGGAUUGGUGAGCUUCUGGAUGAGGAGCCUGGUUCCAGAGUCACUGCUAGGAGUGGGGAUUUCUCCAGUCCCACAGGAAACGUUUAUUGGACUGUGAUGUGAGCAAGAAAUAAAUUACUAUGUUGUUAAGCUAUU
Long non-coding RNA from Bubalus bubalis (water buffalo), 366 nucleotides. RefSeq lists it as uncharacterized. The transcript has 2 exons. The record is from RefSeq and is a predicted model, not a curated record. Lineage: Eukaryota; Metazoa; Chordata; Mammalia; Artiodactyla; Bovidae.